GACGGCAGGGGCGAGUGCAUCGAAUAGAUUGGGUGUAAAGGGUUCGUAGGCGGUUGGGGUUGGGCCUUGGAUGCCCGCCUCCGAGGAGACGGAGGACGUCGAAGGCAGCACCCAACUGGAGUCCCCGAGGGAAAGGCGGAAGGCAAGAGUGACCGAUAAAAUGGGACGACCUCUUGUCGAACACCGAGGGCGAAGGCAGCCUUUUGGCGGGUGACUGACGCUGAGGAACGAAAGCGGAGGGAGCGAACGGG
RNAcentral lists this unclassified non-coding RNA (251 nucleotides) under uncultured bacterium. RNAcentral's name for it is "contains 16S-23S intergenic spacer region". The stretch from base 28 to 251 matches the Rfam family "Bacterial small subunit ribosomal RNA", at positions 553 to 776 of the family's 1533-position model. The record is from RNAcentral.